Molecule: Y RNA, 102 nt
Filed under: Cercocebus atys (sooty mangabey)
Lineage: Eukaryota; Metazoa; Chordata; Mammalia; Primates; Cercopithecidae
Description: Y RNA (ENSCATG00000018081.1)
Rfam family: Y RNA
About the family: Y RNAs are components of the Ro ribonucleoprotein particle (Ro RNP), in association with Ro60 and La proteins. The Y RNAs and Ro60 and La proteins are well conserved, but the function of the Ro RNP is not known.
Source: Rfam by way of RNAcentral
GACUAGUCCAAGUGCUGUCAUGUUUACAACUGAUUGAUCACAAGCAAUCGCAAAUUUCUUUGUUCCUUCUCCACUCUCACUGCUUCAUUUGACUAGCCUUAA